GAUUAACGCUGGCGGCGUGCCUAACACAUGCAAGUCGAGCGGCAGCGAGUUUUACACUGAAUUCUGGAAGCUUCUAGUUGAAAGAGAAGAUUUAUUCAAGAAUUUUGUGUAAAAUGUCGGCGAGCGGCGGACGGCUGAGUAACGCGUGGGAACGUACCCCAAAGUGAGGGAUAACGCAUCGAAAGGUGUGCUAAUACCGCAUAUGGUCUUCGGAUUAAAGCCUUCGGGCGCUUUGGGAACGGCCAGCGUAAGAUUAGAUAGUUAGUGGGGUAAUGGCCUACCAAGUCGACGAUCUUUAACUGGUUUGAGAGGAUGAUCAGUCAGACUGGAACUGAGACACGGUCCAGACUCCUACGGGAGGCAGCAGUGAGGAAUCUUCCACAAUGGGCGAAAGCCUGAUGGAGCAACGCCGCGUGCAGGAUGAAGGCCUUCGGGUUGUAAACUGCUUUUAUAAGUGAGGAUUAUGACAGUAACUUAUGAAUAAGGAUCGGCUAACUACGUG
Molecule: ribosomal RNA, 502 nt
Filed under: uncultured bacterium
Lineage: Bacteria
Description: partial 16S ribosomal RNA
Rfam family: Bacterial small subunit ribosomal RNA
Source: RNAcentral